GCCAGACUCCUACGGGAGGCAGCAGUGGGGGAUAUUGCACAAUGGGGGGAACCCUGAUGCAGCGACGCCGCGUGGGUGAAGGAGCGUUUCGGCGCGUAAAGCCCUAUCGGCAGGGAAGAAGGAGGACGGUACCUGACUAAGAAGCCCCGGCUAACUACGGGCCAGCAGCCGCGGUAAUACGUAGGGGGCAAGCGUUAUCCGGAUUUACUGGGUGUAAAGGGGGCGCAGACGGCAGCGCAAGCCAGGAGUGAAAGCCCGGGGCCCAACCCCGGGACUGCUCUUGGAACUGCGCGGCUGGAGUGCAGGAGGGGCAGGCGGAAUUCCUGGUGUAGCGGUGAAAUGCGUAGAUAUCAGGAGGAACACCGGUGGCGAAGGCGGCCUGCUGGACUGCGACUGACGUUGAGGCCCGAAAGCGUGGGGAGCAAACAGGAUUAGAUACCCCCGUAACU
RNAcentral lists this ribosomal RNA (449 nucleotides) under uncultured bacterium. Its description in RNAcentral is "partial 16S ribosomal RNA". It matches the Rfam family "Bacterial small subunit ribosomal RNA", at positions 330 to 795 of the family's 1533-position model. The record is from RNAcentral.